This 194-nucleotide unclassified non-coding RNA is filed under the name uncultured fungus. RNAcentral's name for it is "sequence contains ITS1, 5.8S rRNA gene". Lineage: Eukaryota; Fungi. The record is from RNAcentral.
ACAAGAAAUUUGGAUGCGGCAGUGGGCGCAAGCCUGCGGCUGCCAUUCAUACCACAUCUACCUUGUGAACUGUGAACCGAGUGCCUGGCCGGCCGCGCCUAUGCCGGUUUGGUGUAGUGUCGUCGUCGUCGGUUAGGAACCCUUUACAUUAACUGUCUUAAUGAAUUGUCGCAGUCGCGGCACAAAAAUUAAUA